This 429-nucleotide ribosomal RNA is filed under the name Bacteroidota bacterium. RNAcentral's name for it is "Bacteroidetes bacterium partial 16S ribosomal RNA". It matches the Rfam family "Bacterial small subunit ribosomal RNA", at positions 355 to 776 of the family's 1533-position model. Lineage: Bacteria; Pseudomonadati; Bacteroidota. The record is from RNAcentral.
UAGGGAAUCUUCGGCAAUGGGGGGAACCCUGACCGAGCAACGCCGCGUGUGUGAAGAAGGUUUUCGGAUCGUAAAGCUCUGUUGUUAAGGAAGAACGAGUGUGAGAAUGGAAAGUUCAUACUGUGACGGUACUUAACCAGAAAGGGACGGCUAACUACGUGCCAGCAGCCGCGGUAAUACGUAGGUCUCGAGCGUUGUCCGGAUUUAUUGGGCGUAAAGCGAGCGCAGGCGGUUAGAUAAGUCUGAAGUUAAAGGCAGUGGCUCAACCAUUGUAGGCUUUGGAAACUGUUUAACUUGAGUGCAGAAGGGGAGAGUGGAAUUCCAUGUGUAGCGGUGAAAUGCGUAGAUAUAUGGAGGAACACCGGUGGCGAAAGCGGCUCUCUGGUCUGUAACUGACGCUGAGGCUCGAAAGCGUGGGGAGCGAACAGG